UACGAAGGGGACUAGCGUUGUUCGGAAUCACUGGGCGUAAAGCGCACGUAGGCGGAUUCGUAAGUCAGGGGUGAAAUCCCGGGGCUCAACCUCGAAACUGCAUUCGAUACUGCGGGGCUAGAGUGCUGGAGGGGAGACUGGAAUUUACGGUGUAGCAGUGAAAUGCGUAGAUAUCGUAAGGAAGACCAGUGGCGAAGGCGAGUCUCUGGACAGCAACUGACGCUGAGGCACGAAGGCCAGGGGAGCAAACGGG
RNAcentral lists this ribosomal RNA (253 nucleotides) under uncultured bacterium. RNAcentral's name for it is "partial 16S ribosomal RNA". It matches the Rfam family "Bacterial small subunit ribosomal RNA", at positions 524 to 776 of the family's 1533-position model. The record is from RNAcentral.